GAUGAACGCUGGCGGCGUGCCUAAUACAUGCAAGUCGAGCGAACGGAUGAGAAGCUUGCUCCUCUGACGUUAGCGGCGGACGGGUGAGUAACACGUGGAUAACCUACCUAUAAGACUGGGAUAACUUCGGGAAACCGGAGCUAAUACCGGAUAAUAUUUUGAACCGCAUGGUUCAAUAGUGAAAGACGGUUUUGCUGUCACUUAUAGAUGGAUCCGCGCUGCAUUAGCUAGUUGGUAAGGUAACGGCUUACCAAGGCAACGAUGCGUAGCCGACCUGAGAGGGUGAUCGGCCACACUGGAACUGAGACACGGUCCAGACUCCUACGGGAGGCAGCAGUAGGGAAUCUUCCGCAAUGGGCGAAAGCCUGACGGAGCAACGCCGCGUGAGUGAUGAAGGUCUUCGGAUCGUAAAACUCUGUUAUUAGGGAAGAACAAAUGUGUAAGUAACUAUGCACGUCUUGACGGUACCUAAUCAGAAAGCCACGGCUAACUACGUG
RNAcentral lists this ribosomal RNA (497 nucleotides) under uncultured bacterium. RNAcentral's name for it is "partial 16S ribosomal RNA". It matches the Rfam family "Bacterial small subunit ribosomal RNA", at positions 28 to 507 of the family's 1533-position model. The record is from RNAcentral.